UCAUUGAACUCUGAACUGAACUGUUUUAGAUUCCAAUUGCUUGAGCGCCCAUUACUGCUAUUAUGUAUAAAUAGAGUUCCUUCCCCAAUGAAGGCCAUUAUCUUGGAUGACUUGAUGUGUGUUGUGGAAAGUACAGGUUGAAUAGUGCUAAAAGGAUUUUUUCACAUUUAUUGAAUAUUAAUGCACUAAACAAUUCAAAAAAGUCAGUUAGGAUUCCACUUCUGCAAAUUGAAUCUGAUUGAGUUUAGGAAAAUGCUAAAUUCAGCAAAUGAACUUGCUCCUUUGAAAUGGUUGUUGUUUCAUUAGUUAGUACUGAAAUGAUCAUAUUCUUUUGAAGCCUCUUGUACUGCAUCUUGUCAUAGAAAUUUUCCAGUAAUAAAUCAAAUAAUAUUGUUAUUGAGAGUGGAUAAGUUUACCAUAUGAUGUGAAAUAUCAGUCUGUGUUUUCAUAGCCUGUUAUAUCUUCCAUGAAAGAUUUUUCUUCCAUGAAGUCACUUGUAGUUGAAAAUAAUGGUGACUAAUGUGUAAACAACAUAAUCGGGUAAAAUUUUAGGUCGAUGUGAUGUUUUGUAAUGUAGAGAAUUAGUCGGGCUCACCCACCUAUGCUCUUGUUCUGAGCAAUUGGCAAGUUGAUGCAUUCGAGAUGCAGAACAAAUUCAUUAGCAAUCUCAGUAAUCUGGAUAGGUUAACUUGGGAACCUUCACCUAUCUCCUAAUCAUUGUAAACACCGUCGAAGAAUCAUCAUAUUUUUAAUGGGAGAGCUCACUAAACUUGUGCCUUGCAAGUUGGAUUUUUGCUUAAUUCCAUUUUCACCAACUUAAAAGUAAGAUCUGAUUUUCCAAGUAAAUGUGUUCUCAUAUGGGCAUUUAAAAGUAACCGGAUACACUACUGCCCAUGAUGGUCUAAUUUGGGGGCUUUUGGCAACCCAUUUCUCAUAUCAUUCUGUUUAUGUUGGACAUAAAAAGGAGGCCUUGUGCAUGCACAGGUACUUUUUGAGAAGCUUGAUUCAGAUUUGUCCUUUUCUAGGGCAUUAUUCUCCAAGUCCUUCUCUUUCACAUCUUGCUGCCCUUAGUGACUAAAUAAAUGCCGACUUCCUUUGUAUUUGAUGUUGUCCACCAUGAUGACAAGACCUUCUAGAACAGAUCUCAAGUAAGAAUAGAAAAGUGAGACGACUAACCCAUGAUUCAACAGACCUUGAGCGGCCUGUAUGACACUAAGCUCUUUGACACAGUCCCGGGUGUGCUUUUGUGUCCAAGUGUCAUCAGCUGGUCCAAUAUAAAAAUAUGCAAUAUGACAACGAAGCAUGAGAGUGCAACACUGUCCUGCAGAAAUCUUUGUGAGCAGAUGAACAAGGCCUCCUUCCUUCUUCCACAUUUUUAUCAAUUCUGGUAGUUGGAAAGCUUCAAACUUCCAAAGGCAUUUCCAGCUCUUCUCAUUGAUGCAGCCCCCUCUUUGGAGUAUCUGUUGGAAAAAUCUGAAAACUACAAAGGCAGUUAUAGCACCAUCUUAAUAGCUAUAUAAAGGUGACACUAAAUAUGGGAUGAAAAAUAAUAAGUUUUUUUUUUUUUUUUUUUUUGUCUAUUAAAUUGACCAUACACACAGUUUAUAUAGGAGAUUACAAGAGAAGAAAUAGGAAACAAGAGAUAUAAUAAGAAACUAACUAAUUCCUAAAUCAUAAAACUAUCUAUUUACAGAAAUAGGAAACUAAUAUAAUAGGAAAAUAAUUCUCUUAUUCUAUUUACAGCUCAACAAAAGGAACCAGGGUACCAUCAAUUUUUUAUUAUACGAGAUGUGUUGACGAUGAAGGAGCAGGUUACAGUGUAGAGGAUUUUCCUAAUUGUAUUUGGCUGUAGGUGUAUUGCUAAUUAUUUGGUUAUAGUGAUCCAUUAAGUUGGUUGAAGUGUAAUUUUAUUCUUGUGAAUGAAGUCCACUUGUUAGUUGCUUUUUAGCUGCUCUUUAUUUUACAAUUCAGUAUUAGAAUGCUAUUAUUUUUGUAUGGCCAAAUUGUAGAAAAAAUAGCAGAAGUUCAAUGCCAAAACAUAAAAUAAAUGAGCAUAAGUUCCGCCUCUAGCCAAGUACCACAACCUAACCAAAAAAGGUGCAUUGUAAGCCAAAAUCACCUAAAUGAACAGCCCCAAACAAAUACUAAUUGAGAAAUACCCACAUAGAACCUAAGAAUUGUAGCCUUUCUUUCAGUAAAACCCACAUUCAUAUGGGGGAAAAAGGAUGUGGGAACAAUUGAAUGAGAACCAAGGUUUUCCUUUAUAUGAGCCAUUGAAGGGUGGUACUGUAAAUGCUUUUGCAAUUUUUGGGUUUCUUCUUCAAUGAGGAAAAGGGGGUGGGGGCUCCAAAUCGAAGGCAAUGAAGGGGUAGGAAUUGGCAACUUACAGGAGGUACUGGGCUUAUUUCUGCCUUUGGGGCACUGAAGUUUGCCAUCACUGGCAGUGCAGGAGGACAAAGGAUCUUCGAGAAGUUCUGUAAAGCCCAGAGCCUCAGAAGGGGAGACAAGCCCUUCAGGAACAUUGUAAGCAUCAACAGUCACAGAGUUGCUGCUGAAAUUUUGUGAGCUAUGCAUUGGCUAGCCCCUUUAUGGACAUUUUUCCUACUUGCUUGUUUCUCAUUAUUGUUUGCAUCUCUUUUUCAUUGCUUUUCACCACUGUGCAUUUGAAAUGCCCCUUCGAACUUUAUCUGUUCUCUUGUAAUGUCUUCUUCAUCUAGGACAAAGGUCAGAUGAGACACCUUAGGCCAGGGGCGGACAGAAGGGGGGCCAAGGGGGGACCACUGGCCACACCCCCCCUCCCCCCCCAACACCAACUUUAGAAAUAAAAAUAUAAAAAAAUAAAAUUA
Long non-coding RNA from Vitis vinifera (wine grape), 2846 nucleotides. RefSeq lists it as uncharacterized. Lineage: Eukaryota; Viridiplantae; Streptophyta; Magnoliopsida; Vitales; Vitaceae. The record is from RefSeq and is a predicted model, not a curated record. The transcript has 2 exons.